RNAcentral lists this ribosomal RNA (62 nucleotides) under Maxillaria adolphi. RNAcentral's name for it is "partial 26S ribosomal RNA". Lineage: Eukaryota; Viridiplantae; Streptophyta; Magnoliopsida; Asparagales; Orchidaceae. The record is from RNAcentral.
GCGACCCCAGGACGGGCGAGGCCACCCGCCGAGUUUAAGCAUAUCAAGAAGCGGAGGAGAAG